GACGAACGCUGGCGGCGUGCUUAACACAUGCAAGUCGAACGGAAAGGCCUCUUUCGGGGGGUACUCGAGUGGCGAACGGGUGAGUAACACGUGAGUAACCUGCCCUUGACUUUGGGAUAACUUCAGGAAACUGGGGCUAAUACCGGAUAGGAGCUCCUGCUGCAUGGUGGGGGUUGGAAAGUUUCGGCGGUUGGGGAUGGACUCGCGGCUUAUCAGCUUGUUGGUGGGGUAGUGGCUUACCAAGGCUUUGACGGGUAGCCGGCCUGAGAGGGUGACCGGCCACAUUGGGACUGAGAUACGGCCCAGACUCCUACGGGAGGCAGCAGGGGGGAAUAUUGCACAAUGGGUGGAAGCCUGAUGCAGCAACGCCGUGUGCGGGAUGACGGCCUUCGGGUUGUAAACCGCUUUCGCUCAUGACGAAGCCUUGUGUGACGGUAGUGGGUAAAGAAGCACCGGCUAACUACGUG
This 467-nucleotide ribosomal RNA is filed under the name uncultured bacterium. RNAcentral describes it as "partial 16S ribosomal RNA". It matches the Rfam family "Bacterial small subunit ribosomal RNA", at positions 28 to 507 of the family's 1533-position model. The record is from RNAcentral.